This 427-nucleotide ribosomal RNA is filed under the name uncultured bacterium. RNAcentral describes it as "partial 16S ribosomal RNA". It matches the Rfam family "Bacterial small subunit ribosomal RNA", at positions 355 to 774 of the family's 1533-position model. The record is from RNAcentral.
UGGGGAAUAUUGGACAAUGGGCGAAAGCCUGAUCCAGCCAUGCCGCGUGUGUGAAGAAGGUCUUCGGAUUGUAAAGCACUUUAAGUUGGGAGGAAGGGCAUUAACCUAAUACGUUAGUGUUUUGACGUUACCGACAGAAUAAGCACCGGCUAACUCUGUGCCAGCAGCCGCGGUAAUACAGAGGGUGCAAGCGUUAAUCGGAAUUACUGGGCGUAAAGCGCGCGUAGGUGGUCUGUUAAGUUGGAUGUGAAAUCCCCGGGCUCAACCUGGGAACUGCAUUCAAAACUGACUGACUAGAGUAUGGUAGAGGGUGGUGGAAUUUCCUGUGUAGCGGUGAAAUGCGUAGAUAUAGGAAGGAACACCAGUGGCGAAGGCGACCACCUGGACUAAUACUGACACUGAGGUGCGAAAGCGUGGGGAGCAAACA